RNAcentral lists this long non-coding RNA (795 nucleotides) under Olea europaea subsp. europaea. The record is from RNAcentral. Lineage: Eukaryota; Viridiplantae; Streptophyta; Magnoliopsida; Lamiales; Oleaceae.
UUUUUAUUAAAAUUGAAAAUGAGUCCAGUCAUUUAACAUACAUUCACCAUUAUUAAAUCUUGACAAUCUGGAAAUUAAAACCACAAACACCAAAUCAAAAUCUGAAAAUCAAAACCUAUAAUUAUUCCAUUAAUUAUCUACUCGUUUUUAUAAGUCAACUUCGGGUAGAUUGGAGAGUGAAAAAAUUCACAGGGCCAUUUUCAUCCUUUUGUAUCUUCCCCGUCCCCUCUCUCUCCGGCUUCCUUCGAUCUGGCCCCGAUCAAUUGGUACUAAUGUUGUCUACUGUAUAAACUUGAAAAUGUUCAUUCUGUAGUGGGUGUGGCUAGCCACCACGCCGGGAGUAUGGGCCUGAAGCACAAUGUUCUGAAGCCAACACAGGAUGGAAUGGAUUGCUCAGAUGAUGGAGUUUCGUCCAUCAGCAGCAGAGAGGAGGGACUGUAAUGCCCGAUAUGCUGGGAAUCCUUUAACCUUGUCGAAAACAUACCCUGUCUUCUUGUGUGGUAAUGUAUUAUAAAAAAAACUGCAUUCUGGGACUACAAUGGGCUGUUGUAAAAUUUCCUACUUUACCUGCCUGGCUUCCGCUCUUCAUAUCUUGCCCCUGGUGCAUUCUCUUAUCACUUUGUCUGAUUUAUUGGGGAAACCUCAAAUUUCCUCUUAAAAACUUCUUUCUUCUCUGGAUGCUUGAAAGCAUGAAUGGUUUGGAAUUAAGCUUUGAAUUGGGAUUGAGAUUUUCACAUGGUGUUUUGAAUCUCAGUUGGGGCAUUAACAGGGCGAGUGUGGGUCGGGACACUCUUC